ACGAACGCUUGCGGCGUGCUUAACACAUGCAAGUCGCACGGAAAGGCCCUGCUUGCAGGGUACUCGAGUGGCGAACGGGUGGGUAACACGUGGGUGAUCUGCCCUGCACUUCGGGAUAAGCCUGGGAAACUGGGUCUAAUACCGGAUAGGAGCCAUUUUUAGUGUGUUGGUUGGAAAGUUUUUUCGGUGUAGGAUGAGCUCGCGGCCUAUCAGCUUGUUGGUGGGGUAAUGGCCUACCAAGGCGGCGACGGGUAGCCGGCCUGAGAGGGUGGACGGCCACAUUGGGAAUGGGAUACGGCCCCGACUCCUACGGGAGGCAGCAGUGGGGAAUAUUGGACAAUGGGCGCAAGGCUGAUGCAGCGACGCCGCGUGGGGGAUGACGGCCUUCGGGUUGUAAACUCCUUUCGCUAGGGACGAAGCUUUUUGUGACGGUACCUAGAUAAGAAGCACCGGCUAACUACGUG
RNAcentral lists this ribosomal RNA (464 nucleotides) under uncultured bacterium. RNAcentral's name for it is "partial 16S ribosomal RNA". It matches the Rfam family "Bacterial small subunit ribosomal RNA", at positions 29 to 507 of the family's 1533-position model. The record is from RNAcentral.